Molecule: long non-coding RNA, 3874 nt
Filed under: Homo sapiens (human)
Lineage: Eukaryota; Metazoa; Chordata; Mammalia; Primates; Hominidae
Description: HSALNT0193982
Source: RNAcentral
ACAGCUCACAGCACCCGUGGAGGCCAAAUCAUGCUGGGAUGGACCCUCUGUAUUUGCAGCCCAAACGUGUGUCUGUGAGCUGCAUGUGUUAAAACGUGUUUGCAUUUGGGAUGGGGACUGAGGAAGCAUCUGGGGACUGGACAGAAGAGUUUCCCCAGGAUGCAGUACUUUGAACAAACCAUGGAUUCCAGAAAAGACAUCUGUUUCCAUCAAGAACUAACAUGGAAUAAUAACAAAGAAGAUGUGGCCACAUGCUCUCAGGUAGAAACUGAAGGUCAAAGAAGAGAUAUGAGAAGGAGUUUUCCCAUCAAGGGAGGUCCUUUUCUGAUGGAUGACUAAGCCCUGAGAAAUGCUUAGAAAUAGGCAAGAGGGGAUGAAUGCUGCUCUACAUUCAGGUAGCUUUUUGGCUUGGCAAAACUUUAAAAUGUGAUGAAAUCUCUAGAGAGCAAGAAAAAAAAGAUACAGAAAUGGAAAAACCCUUAUGGACCCCAACAACAACAACAACAACAAAACUGUUCUCUAUUACCAUGGUCCCAUCUAUUCCUAUUGAAAUGUAGACCAAGAUGGAUAAGAUGAAUAUUGUAUGUUGACACAGCAAAAUAAUCUGCAGUAACAAAGCCAUGCCUUUGCUUCCUAAAGUUAUCAGAAUGGCACCUUAAAAUUAUGGUCAUAAAGGAACCUGUGAUUGGCCAUACGUUUGAGUUUUCAAGAAGAGAUCUUACACGGAACAUGAGAAAACUACAGUGACUCUCUUGAGAUUUUUCGAAUGACACACAAGCACCAAAGAGGAACUUUUGCCUUUUCGGACAAGUUAAGUACAUUAAAUAUAAUAAGGUCUGAUAAAUCAGAAACAAAAAGUGAAAUUCAUGUUAAGGCCUCAACUCAGUGUUUUAGAAGAGAAUUUUUCUGGGUUUUAUAGUAUCUGACAGUUAAUAGGCCAGGCACAGUGGCUCACACCUGUAGUCUCAGCACUUUAGAAGACAGAGACAAGUGGAUCUCUUGAGCCCAGGAGUUCGAGAACAGCCUGGGCAAUAUUGUGAGGCCCCCAUCUCUACUAAAAAUAACAAAAUCAGCUAUUAGCUGGGCAUGAUGGCAUGCAUCUGUGGUCCUAGCUACCGGGGAGGCUGAGGUGGGAGGAUUGCUUGAGCCUGGGAGGCAGAGUUUGCAGUGAGCCAUGAUUGCACCACUGCAUUCCAGCCUGGGUGACAGAAUGAGACCUUUUCUCAAAAAGAUAAAAAAUAAAUAAAAAAUUAAAGGAAUCCAGUUAACAGUUGUCGCAGGAUGUUAAAGAAUCAGGCUUUAUGGUUUUAAUCAUUACAUAUUCCAGAGGUAAAAUUCUGAGGAAAUCAUUUUUAUGGGUUUAACAGCCAUUCAUACUAUUCUUUAAUGAACAGAGAUUCUGCCACGGAAGAAAGGCUAUUGCAAUUGUCUAGUUUGAGGUUGAUAAAAUUUCUUUUUGACUGGAAAAGAGAAAUUUCCAGUGAAAGGUGAUUUCUUGGCCGGGCACAGUGGCUCAUGCCUGUAAUCCCAGCACUCUGGGAGGCAGAGGCAGGUGGACCACCUGAGGUCAGCGGUUCGAGACCAGCCUGGCCAACAUGGCGAAACCUCGUCUCUACUAAAAAUACAAAAAUUAGCUGGGCGUGUUGGUGGGCACCUGUAAUCCCAGCUACUUGAGAUACUGAGGCACAAGAAUCACUUGAACCUGGGAGGCAAAGGCUGCAGUGAGCGGAGACUGUGGCACUGCACUCCAGCCUGGGCCACAGAGUGAGAUACUGUCUUAAAAAAAAAAAAAAAAAAAAAGAAAGGUGAUUUCUUUACACAGUAGGAACCGGGGGCAAUUAACUUUCGGGCACUUACUUGUACUCAAUUAAUAAUUGAUAUAUAAAUGAAUGUAUCAAAGGCAUCCUGGGAGAUCCCCACAAAUCUGAAACUGCCUACAACAUCCUCCCAAUUUGAUCGGAAUAACUUAAUUGUACUAGGCCUUAGGUUCUGUAAGAAUCCAAAGUGGUGUAAGGUAAGUUUUAUCUGGAAUAGACAGUACAAAUAACAUAGUUCUCCAAAGAAUACAUAAUAUACAAUUGAUGAUGGUAGAAAGUAGAACAAUGGGAAGUGGUUACUCCUUAAGAAUAAUACUUGCUUUCUCCAAAAGGGCUCACUGAGCCACCCAGCAUAUUCCAAGAGUCUAAACAAGGACCGUUGACUAAUUACUUCCAUUAGACUUCCUCUUCGAGAUCCAAAGUUACAUCUGUCCUUCCUCCUUCUCCUUAGAAGAACCAGCUCUCCCAAGAUCUAAGAAGAAAACUCCCAGAAUUAGGCCACGGUAGGCUGGGAAGUAGUUGAGUGAGACAUUUUUUGUACCUUCAGGUGCUGAAAACUCAGCCUCUUUUGAGGAGUUGCCAGAUCCUCCUGGAUCCUAGGAGGGCCAAACCAGCUCAUGUGUCCUAUUAAGAUUCACAGCAAGUGGUCAUGGCCUUCCUGGGCAUGGCUUUACGAGCUGUGGGGAAGAGUUCAGAAGACCCAUAUGGGCUGGAGGAGCCUGUUCUUUGGGAGGGUUUCUGCAGGUAUUUUGAAAUGAUUCUGAAGAACUGGCUCUAGGCCAUGUUUUAUUUUUCAGAGGGAGGCUUAUAUGCAAUCAAACUAACCCCAGUGAAAAUGAAAUCACAGUUAGGAGAAGAAGAAAGGACCAGAAUAGUUCAUGAAUUGCCGUACUCCUUACUCUUCUAAUGUAAACAAUAUUAAAAUGCAAUUAUUUCACUAAGGAAAGCUUUUCAAGGUACAGUUCCUUUAAGAAUCAGUUCUGCUGGUAAGGGAACCAAAAAAAUCUCUGUACUUCCUCAAUGGAUUUUAAAUAUAUCAGUAACUCUUCUUGCCCCAAUCCCCAUCAUCCAAAUUUACACUAACCAAAGAAUUUAUGGGUAUAAAAUUACUGUCCUGGGUGGAGGAACUCCUACACAGAAUAGCAACAUGCUUUUAUAGCAAAAGAAGAUGAUGGAGUCUUUAGCAUCCAUGCUGUUUUAUUCAGAAAGAAAAAAAUAUAUAUUGGGGGGGUGGGGGCUGAAGUUAAAGAUAUAUUUUCCUCUUUGCAGCUCUAUAAUUUCAUUCCCCAUAAAAGAGUGAAUCAGACUGAGUUGUCAAAUGAAAAGUAAACUUCAUCGCCUUUGCGAUCAGAAUAAUUUAAUUAGCUUUAUUGGCUCUUACAGGCUGUCACCUUAUUUAUUGGUUUUUCAGCUUUCUUCUCAUUUUCAAUUAGGCUUUAAAAAAACAAAUGCAAAAUCAUUCACUAAAUUCAGAAUAAUUAAAACAAUAUUGUGUUUCCAGUUUGGAAACAUGGUAGAAUGUAUUGCUUCUGGGUACACUUCGGAGAGGUUAAAGUGACAGAGCAGAUAAAAAGGACACUUAGUACACACGUAAAUCAUUUGCAUUACAAAUAAGAUACUUUAGCAGGGGUUGGACUCCCUGCCUGACAGUCAGGAUUAAGUUCCCAUAUUAAUACAUGCAUUUGGUGUGGUUAUUUUGGGUGAAAGACUUCAUCCAUCAAUGCCCUCUGCCACUAAGUAAGGCCAACCUGUAAACUGAUCACCACAGCCUGUCAACACUGGUUACUUAAUUAUAUAAAGAAAAUAUGUUUAAAAGACUUUUGAUAAUUUGGUUAGUAUUUCAACAUCUUUUUCAAGGUUCCUUAAAAUAAUAGCUAAAGCAUUUUUAAGAAUUAAAAACUGAAAACUAUGACUAUUUUUAUGUUUCCUGCUAAUCUUUCUUUUUCUUUUAUUUGCAGAAGGGAAAAAUAAAGAUUCAGUAAGCAUUAAUGAAGAUGAAUAUAAAUGAAAUAAUAUUUUUAAAAGAUAUUUUAAUUAAAAAUUAAAUUCAAUGCAUG